This 252-nucleotide ribosomal RNA is filed under the name uncultured bacterium. Its description in RNAcentral is "partial 16S ribosomal RNA". It matches the Rfam family "Bacterial small subunit ribosomal RNA", at positions 524 to 776 of the family's 1533-position model. The record is from RNAcentral.
UACGUAGGGGGCAAGCGUUGUCCGGAUUUACUGGGCGUAAAGAGCGCGUAGGCGGAGCGUUAAGUCCGGUUUGAAAGCCCCCGGCUCAACCGGGGAGAGUGGCUGGAAACUGGCGUUCUGGAGGGCGAUAGAGGAGAGUGGAAUUCCUGGUGUAGCGGUGAAAUGCGUAGAUAUCAGGAGGAACACCCGUGGCGAAGGCGGCUCUCUGGAUCGACCUGACGCUGAGGCGACGAAGCGUGGGGAGCGAACGGG